This 259-nucleotide ribosomal RNA is filed under the name uncultured bacterium. RNAcentral describes it as "partial 16S ribosomal RNA". It matches the Rfam family "Bacterial small subunit ribosomal RNA", at positions 523 to 776 of the family's 1533-position model. The record is from RNAcentral.
GGACGGAGGGGGCAAGCGUUGUUCGGAAUUAUUGGGCGUAAAGGGCUCGUAGGCGGACCUGUAAGUUUGACGUGAAAAUCUCCACCGCUCACCGGGGGAGGGGUCGUUGAAUACUGCAGGUCUGGAGUUCGGCAGAGGACCACGGAAUUCCGCGUGUAGCGGUGGAAUGCGUAGAGAUCCGGAAGAACACCGGUGGCGAAGGCGGUCUGCUGGGGCGAGUUGCUGCACUGAGGCGCGGACAGCGUGGGGAGCAAACAGG